Molecule: ribosomal RNA, 119 nt
Filed under: Pteropus alecto (black flying fox)
Lineage: Eukaryota; Metazoa; Chordata; Mammalia; Chiroptera; Pteropodidae
Source: RNAcentral
AUCUGUGGCCAUGCCACCCUGAACAAGCCCAAUCCCGUCUGAUCUUGGAAGCUAAGCAGGGUCAGGUUUGGUUAAUACUUGGAUGGGAGACCACCUAGGAAGACCAGGUGCUACAGGUG